Molecule: long non-coding RNA, 461 nt
Organism: Budorcas taxicolor (takin)
Lineage: Eukaryota; Metazoa; Chordata; Mammalia; Artiodactyla; Bovidae
Exons: 3
Source: RefSeq, a predicted model, not a curated record
CCCGAGGCCGCCUCUGCGCGUCCCCUGCACCGUGCGGGCGCCGCCAGAAGGAGGCCGGCGCGGAGCGGAGCCCGGGGAACGUGAGUCCUGACAGGCCGUUCCCCUCCGCUCUCACAGCCGGGCUCCGCGCCGCGGGCAGAUGCAGAAACUGAGGCACUGAGACUGCCAGCAGCGUGCAGUGGUGGGAAUGUCCCCAAGGCAGAAGUGAAUCAAGAUUCUUAGAUGAUGAGAGCUCCAUUGAAAGAAAAAAAGUACACUAAGUGAGGAAACAGACAUUGAACACCUACUCUGCCAGAUAUUGGUGUGCAUGGGUGCUCAGCUGUUCAGGCACGUCCGUCUCUUUACGACCUCUUGGACAGUAGCCCACCAGGCUCCUGUGUCCAUGGAAUUUUUCUGGCAAGAAUAUUGGCUGCUGCUGCUGCUAAGUCGCCUCGGAUGUGUCCGACUCUGUGUGAUCCCAU